RNAcentral lists this ribosomal RNA (492 nucleotides) under uncultured bacterium. RNAcentral describes it as "partial 16S ribosomal RNA". It matches the Rfam family "Bacterial small subunit ribosomal RNA", at positions 29 to 507 of the family's 1533-position model. The record is from RNAcentral.
AGUGAACGCUGGCGGUAGGCCUAACACAUGCAAGUCGAACGGCAGCACAGUAAGAGCUUGCUCUUACGGGUGGCGAGUGGCGGACGGGUGCGGAAUACAUCGGAAUCUACUUUUUCGUGGGGGAUAACGCAGGGAAACUUACGCUAAUACCGCAUACGACCUACGGGUGAAAGCAGGGGAUCUUCGGACCUUGCGCGAUUCAAUGAGCCGAUGUCGGAUUAGCUAGUUGGCGGGGUAAAGGCCCACCAAGGCGACGAUCCGUAGCUGGUCUGAGAGGAUGAUCAGCCACACUGGAACUGAGACACGGUCCAGACUCCUACGGGAGGCAGCAGUGGGGAAUAUUGGACAAUGGGCGAAAGCCUGAUCCAGCCAUACCGCGUGUGUGAAGAAGGCCUUCGGGUUGUAAAGCCCUUUUGUUGGGAAAGAAAAGCAGCAAGUUAAUACCCCGCUGUUCUGACGGUACCCAAAGAAUGAGCACCGGCUAACUUCGUG